Molecule: ribosomal RNA, 492 nt
Filed under: uncultured bacterium
Lineage: Bacteria
Description: partial 16S ribosomal RNA
Rfam family: Bacterial small subunit ribosomal RNA
Source: RNAcentral
AGUGAACGCUGGCGGUAGGCCUAACACAUGCAAGUCGAACGGCAGCACAGUAAGAGCUUGCUCUUACGGGUGGCGAGUGGCGGACGGGUGAGGAAUACAUCGGAAUCUACUUUUUCGUGGGGGAUAACGUAGGGAAACUUACGCUAAUACCGCAUACGACCUACGGGUGAAAGCAGGGGAUCUUCGGACCUUGCGCGAUUGAAUGAGCCGAUGUCGGAUUAGCUAGUUGGCGGGGUAAAGGCCCACCAAGGCGACGAACCGUAGCUGGUCUGAGAGGAUGAUCAGCCACACUGGAACUGAGACACGGUCCAGACUCCUACGGGAGGCGGCAGUGGGGAAUAUUGGACAAUGGGCGCAAGCCUGAUCCAGCCAUACCGCGUGGGUGAAGAAGGCCUUCGGGUUGUAAAGCCCUUUUGUUGGGAAAGAAAAGCAGCAGGUUAAUACCCCGCUGUUCUGACGGUACCCAAAGAAUAAGCACCGGCUAACUUCGUG